UUAAAUUGAAGAGUUUGAUCAUGGCUCAGAUUGAACGCUGGCGGCAGGCCUAACACAUGCAAGUCGAACGGUAACAGGAAGAAGCUUGCUUCUUUGCUGACGAGUGGCGGACGGGUGAGUAAUGUCUGGGAAACUGCCUGAUGGAGGGGGAUAACUACUGGAAACGGUAGCUAAUACCGCAUAACGUCGCAAGACCAAAGAGGGGGACCUUCGGGCCUCUUGCCAUCGGAUGUGCCCAGAUGGGAUUAGCUUGUUGGUGGGGUAACGGCUCACC
RNAcentral lists this ribosomal RNA (274 nucleotides) under Escherichia coli. Its description in RNAcentral is "partial 16S ribosomal RNA". It matches the Rfam family "Bacterial small subunit ribosomal RNA", at positions 1 to 269 of the family's 1533-position model. Lineage: Bacteria; Pseudomonadati; Pseudomonadota; Gammaproteobacteria; Enterobacterales; Enterobacteriaceae. The record is from RNAcentral.